AUCGCUAAGGGAGGGAACCCAGAAACAGAAAGCUGGGCCUUCUAGGUUUCUGUUUGCUUUGAAACCACUUAUGGAACAAGAAUUAGGGCCCACAAAUGUGGCCCCUCAGGAAUGACCCCCACCCCCACCUCCCAACUCUAGUUGAGUUACCAAAUGAGGCCAAUUCAUUCUCUGGAAUGUUGCAGCCCAGGCAAUGAUGAUUGAUACUGACAGGGAAGCUUUCAUGUAGCAAUAUCCCCGGCCACCGGCUGUGAGGCAAAGAGAAAGAACUCUCUGGAAUUCACAACAUUCCCCCUCCAAUUAAUCCCCAGCCACCCCGCUGUGUGUGAAUGGGUUGUGCUGGGGAUUCGUAGCUCUGAUGCGGGGGAUUUGCUGAUUCCUUUGAGCCCCCUGAGGAGAGGUGAUAUGGAGAGCAAAUAAUCAGCAUGCAGCACGGAGGCGAGAGAGGACAAAGAGGCUUAGAAAUUCCUAACCAGCACGGGGUCACAGACUGGAAGUGGUAACUGGAGUCUUCAGAAUUCCAUCACCUUCAGUUGCUUGCCUGCUGGAAUGACAUGGAUUCUCAUCCCUGAGGAAGUAAUUCUGGAUUCCUUCUCAUGAUAAUGAAGAUCAGUUACCCUUGACAAGGCAAUAACUCCUUUCUUGCCUAUUGUUUCCUGGUACAAGGAGCUCAAAGUGAACAGGAUUCUGCACUGCCUGCAGCCCUGGGAGACAGAGCAAGUUCAGAAACCUGGUUUAUGCUAGUUUUACAAAGGAGAAAACAGGAUUGGAGAAAUUAAAUUGGAGAAUUUGUGGCACAUUGACUGAACAAAACACAGUCUUGUUCUUAUGACUCCUUGCCGGUGUGAUGUGGAAUUACACUCUCCUGAGGACAUGUAUACUCCAGUGGAAACAGCCCAUGAACAACAGCCUGGUGUUCCAUAUCUCCAAGGUCUGCCAGAAUUGCUGCUGGGUUGAUUUGGAGGAUUGGCUGGGUUGGGCUAAGGUUAAGCCAAGAAGAUUUUUUUCAAAGUGGCAUUUGGGGGUAACUACGGUAUGUUCCCAAACAACAGAUGAUGAAGACAAAGAGAUGUGAUCGUAAAGGUAUGUGACCUCAAAGGUAUCUAACUUUGGUCUUUUGCCAGAUUCUUAUUUGUCAAAAUAGCCCAGAGAAUGUCAACCAAAGGUCAUGUUGGAAGAAAAAUUACAAUUUGCCAAAUUUUUUUUUAACUUCAGUUUUUUAAGAAGUAGGAAAUAAACAGUGGUUAGACUGCAGGUGUCUUUUUGUUUAAUUGUGAAGACACUUUUAGAAUAUCUUAAAUGCCUUCCAAAAUGUGGUAGUUAAUAUUUAAAGUAUAAAUAUUUAAGCAAAAUAAGAAACUUGCCUAUUGGGCAAAAUGAGAAAUUUUGAACUCUUCAUUUGAGUUCAGAGUGUACCAUCUGUAACUCUGUACCUGAGUUCUUGGCAUGUAGUGGGAGUUCAUAAACAUUUGGCGAGUGAGUGGGGAAGCUAAAAACCAACUGCAUUAUGCAAUCCUGCUAUGCUAUUUCAGUUGGAAGCAGCUAGUUGGUUAUACCUAAUGGGGCCUUAGCAUUGUGAUUCUUUUGCUAUAAAAGUAGAUAGAGUGAGAAGACAGGCACAACUUUAAACUACCUAUUCUCAACAGCAAGAAGACUAUUUUAUUAGAAAUGCGUGUGUGUACUUGUGUUUGUAGGAAAAGCUUACAAUGCAACAGAACCAGCUUUCUGAAAAUUGGCCAUGCAGUCUUUGUAAUCAGUACUUCAUGCGCUUGUCGUCGUUACAGAUGGGUGAGCAGAUAACUCCAAGAUUCUAUAAGGCCACAGUGAUUUAAUGAAACUAAUGGUGGUAUCAUUUUGCAUUUUUCUUGAUUGCAAAGUCAUAUAUUUUUUAAUUGUAGAAAAUAAAAAAGCAGAAAGAAAUGAAAA
This is a long non-coding RNA of Felis catus (domestic cat), 1926 nucleotides long. RefSeq lists it as uncharacterized. The record is from RefSeq and is a predicted model, not a curated record. The transcript is spliced from 8 exons. NCBI's taxonomy places the organism in Eukaryota, Metazoa, Chordata, Mammalia, Carnivora, Felidae.